This 1066-nucleotide ribosomal RNA is filed under the name Leuconostoc mesenteroides. Its description in RNAcentral is "bacterial SSU rRNA". It matches the Rfam family "Bacterial small subunit ribosomal RNA", at positions 8 to 1054 of the family's 1533-position model. Lineage: Bacteria; Bacillati; Bacillota; Bacilli; Lactobacillales; Lactobacillaceae. The record is from RNAcentral.
AGAGUUUGAUCCUGGCUCAGGAUGAACGCUGGCGGCGUGCCUAAUACAUGCAAGUCGAACGCACAGCGAAAGGUGCUUGCACCUUUCAAGUGAGUGGCGAACGGGUGAGUAACACGUGGACAACCUGCCUCAAGGCUGGGGAUAACAUUUGGAAACAGAUGCUAAUACCGAAUAAAACUUAGUGUCGCAUGACACAAAGUUAAAAGGCGCUUCGGCGUCACCUAGAGAUGGAUCCGCGGUGCAUUAGUUAGUUGGUGGGGUAAAGGCCUACCAAGACAAUGAUGCAUAGCCGAGUUGAGAGACUGAUCGGCCACAUUGGGACUGAGACACGGCCCAAACUCCUACGGGAGGCUGCAGUAGGGAAUCUUCCACAAUGGGCGAAAGCCUGAUGGAGCAACGCCGCGUGUGUGAUGAAGGCUUUCGGGUCGUAAAGCACUGUUGUAUGGGAAGAACAGCUAGAAUAGGAAAUGAUUUUAGUUUGACGGUACCAUACCAGAAAGGGACGGCUAAAUACGUGCCAGCAGCCGCGGUAAUACGUAUGUCCCGAGCGUUAUCCGGAUUUAUUGGGCGUAAAGCGAGCGCAGACGGUUUAUUAAGUCUGAUGUGAAAGCCCGGAGCUCAACUCCGGAAUGGCAUUGGAAACUGGUUAACUUGAGUGCAGUAGAGGUAAGUGGAACUCCAUGUGUAGCGGUGGAAUGCGUAGAUAUAUGGAAGAACACCAGUGGCGAAGGCGGCUUACUGGACUGCAACUGACGUUGAGGCUCGAAAGUGUGGGUAGCAAACAGGAUUAGAUACCCUGGUAGUCCACACCGUAAACGAUGAACACUAGGUGUUAGGAGGUUUCCGCCUCUUAGUGCCGAAGCUAACGCAUUAAGUGUUCCGCCUGGGGAGUACGACCGCAAGGUUGAAACUCAAAGGAAUUGACGGGGACCCGCACAAGCGGUGGAGCAUGUGGUUUAAUUCGAAGCAACGCGAAGAACCUUACCAGGUCUUGACAUCCUUUGAAGCUUUUAGAGAUAGAAGUGUUCUCUUCGGAGACAAAGUGACAGGUGGUGCAUGGUCGUCG